AGUUAGGAUCAGUCUAACACAAGUCAAAAUAUUUUAGACAAAAUUUAGAAACCAAAAAAAAAAAGGAUCUUAAGAAGAAAGUAAAAUUAAAGCCUCAAAACAUGUCAAGUUAAGGUACCUGAAGAGUACCUACAGAGUGUCAAUAACUGUACACUAUAAAGAUCUAACAGCCAGCGUAAUAAGCAUAAAGAGCAAUUCUCACAACUUGGAAAAGCAUCACUAAAUGUAAAUGUACAAAGACUGGGAGCAGAUAACUGAAGUUUGGAAUUGAGUAUGGAACUAUCAUGCAUGGUUAAAUUGAUAAGCAUCACAUUUGGUAUGCUAAGGACUCGUGUUCACCAUUCAUUACGAUUGCGAAGGAUCAAACUAGUUAAACUUUUAAAUCCCAAAAAGGGAUUAAUCGGGCCAUCGUCACUAGCCAAAAAGGAAAAAUAUUCUAGGUGCAAGUUCGUUAAUGUUGGCAAAUCCAAAUAUUUUGGAAAUAAUGUUCUCCCAUUAUUAUGAUGGCCUUUAGUGGCAACAAAUAGGUUCAGUGAUGGUAGAGUGAUGAAGAAAUGCAAGGCAAGAUGUCACACAUUUGACAUCAAUUCCUAAAUGACGGAGCUUGACAUUACGGGAUAAAACAUAGUUUGCAAC
Molecule: long non-coding RNA, 636 nt
Filed under: Trifolium pratense (red clover)
Lineage: Eukaryota; Viridiplantae; Streptophyta; Magnoliopsida; Fabales; Fabaceae
Description: long non-coding RNA (TPRA_LNC005852)
Source: RNAcentral